ACUCCUACGGGAGGCAGCAGUAAGGAAUAUUGGUCAAUGGAGGCAACUCUGAACCAGCCAUGCCGCGUGCAGGAAGACGGCCCUCUGGGUUGUAAACUGCUUUUAUUCGGGAAUAAACCUUUGCUCGUGAGCGAAGCUGAAUGUACCGAAGGAAUAAGGAUCGGCUAACUCCGUGCCAGCAGCCGCGGUAAUACGGAGGAUCCAAGCGUUAUCCGGAUUUAUUGGGUUUAAAGGGUGCGUAGGCGGCCUGUUAAGUCAGGGGUGAAAGACGGUAGCUCAACUAUCGCAGUGCCCUUGAUACUGAUGGGCUUGAAUGGACUAGAGGUAGGCGGAAUGAGACAAGUAGCGGUGAAAUGCAUAGAUAUGUCUCAGAACACCGAUUGCGAAGGCAGCUUACUAUGGUCUUAUUGACGCUGAGGCACGAAAGCGUGGGGAUCGAACAGGAUUAGAUACCCUGGUAGGCUCUG
Molecule: ribosomal RNA, 467 nt
Filed under: uncultured bacterium
Lineage: Bacteria
Description: bacterial SSU rRNA
Rfam family: Bacterial small subunit ribosomal RNA
Source: RNAcentral